Long non-coding RNA from Solanum stenotomum, 855 nucleotides. RefSeq lists it as uncharacterized. The transcript has 4 exons. The record is from RefSeq and is a predicted model, not a curated record. NCBI's taxonomy places the organism in Eukaryota, Viridiplantae, Streptophyta, Magnoliopsida, Solanales, Solanaceae.
CACUUCCAGAAGUAGGGUUGCCUUCCUCGCUUUCUGUUCUGAAGAUCUCUUCCUGCCCACAAUUUCUAUCACUACCAGAAAAUGGUCUCCCCUCCUCUGUAUGUCGAUUAGAGAUCAAUGACUGUCCAUUGCUUACUCCUCGUUUACAUAGCAAGAAAGAGGAGGACUGGCUAAAGAUUGCUGGAAUCCACACUCUACUUAUAGACUAGGAAUUGGUCUAGUAGUGAAGAAGAACAUGGUCCCUUAUCUGCAUUCUUCCAUUGUACAAAUCAAUAUAAGAUGUGUUGUUACAUGAGGGAAAAGUUAUUCAUAUGAUGUGAUAUAUGCCAAAACAGAUGGAUGGAGAGAUUCGACUGGUAUGACGUGCAUUUUAGAAGAAUGGAGGAAGUAAAUUAUUCUCAUUUGGAUUUCAGUUUGACUGAUAGGUUGCCUUCCUUCGGCAGUGAUCGAGCUAGCUUUUGAUUGCUUCUGCUGAAUUACGCAAUUUUCAUACUGAAGCAUACCAUAUAACUUACAACUUAAAAAGUUAAAAGUGUUGCAAUUUGGUGUGGUAAAUCUCUAUUAGAAAGUUGUUUCAAUUUCCUAAACAUUGGGAAGUCUAUUUACAAUUAAAACAUAAGCAUUUUAAAUGAUGAAGGCAUUUGUAUGCCAUGUAAAAGUAUUGAAUAAGCUAAACAAGGUCUUUAUCUCAGAUUUAUGGGAGAUGACGGCUUAAACCUUAUACUUAUCCAAGCCGAAGGCUUCCCCUAUUGUAUAAAGAAAGGUAAUCUAGUGUACAAUAUUCCUCUAGUGUGCCACUGCCACCUAAGUUGUUCUUCCGAAUGUCUAUAAUAGUUCAUCAGCUAUAUUGGUUUA